This 4719-nucleotide long non-coding RNA is filed under the name Cricetulus griseus (Chinese hamster). RNAcentral's name for it is "lncRNA (ENSCGRG00015036530.1)". Lineage: Eukaryota; Metazoa; Chordata; Mammalia; Rodentia; Cricetidae. The record is from RNAcentral.
GUUGUCACAGAACUCUACCACUAGCAGUAAGAGACUCACAAAGCAUAGAAAAGUUGACCAGAGAGCAAUUAAAUAGAGCUAUGAAGUGCUGAUGCUAAGCAGUUAUGAGAACUCUUCAACCAAAGAGACAGCUAUUGGGAUACAAUCUGUAGAAGAAAAAAAAAGUGGCCACACAGUCCCAUAUUCUGAUGAUAGGCUGCUGGCUGCAGUGCUGUUUCCAACUGUUUCCUGGUCCUCCCUGCUUUGCCAGUGGCCAUAGUGAACUUGCUGAUGGACGUAAAUGCAACUUGAAGGAGUUUGUUUAUAUGGUGAGUUACAUUCAUUGAUUUACAUGUGUUGAACCAACUCAACAUUCUGGGGUGAAGACUACUUAAUCAUGGUGGAUGAUCUCUUUGAUGUGUUCUUGAAUUUUGUUUGAGUCUCAGAUGAUGAUGCAGGCUGUCCAGGAGACAGUGAUCAGAAUCAGUUCCAGAAUGGGGAAGACAAUCUCCAGGAUGAGCACCAAAUGGGCCAAUGGAAUUCCUGUCCUUUAUAAAGGUCUUAGUUGUCUUUGGUGAGGUAGACCAGAAAGCCUAGCAGGGCUACAAGGAGGAUGGUGAUGCAAAUGGUGUGGGUGGCCUACAGUUCUUGAGGCAGAGCCAGCAGAAGACUCUGUAGUGAGCCAUGCUCUGGACCAGGCAGGACAUAUACAAUCCUUCUGUGCCAGCGAGCAUGGCACAAAUGCAACUGCUGAGGCAGUCACCUUCCUCAAGUGUGGGUGCUGGAAAUUCACCUAGCUAAGUAGUGUCAGGAUCAUGCUUGGGAUUUUCAAAGCAAUGGAGACCUGCAAAGCUUGAGUGUAUAAAAAGGAAAAUAACCUGUGGGCUAGGUUGAAGAUGGAGGUAGGCAUCAUUCAACCAUCAUGUGCCUAAUUGAUGAAGCAGAAGAGACUCUGCUCUGCACAGCCUUCUCAAGGGGAAUGCUCUAGUGACCUGCUUUUUCAAGAUUCCAGGAGUAAGGAGGUUGGUGUGGUGGCAGUGGUAAGCCUGCUUACUCAUUUAGGGGACCUGGUGACUAAGGCAUGGCCCCUAGAGUCUAAAAGAGCUGUUCUGACCUUUGAUAUUUUACUUAACCUUUCUGGGCCUCAGUUUCCUACCCUACAAGAUAAAGGCAGCAAGAUUACAUUUUAUUUAUUUAAUUUGAACGUGUAUGGGUCUUUUACUGUAUGUAUCUAUGCUUGCACCUCAUGUGUGCAGUGCCAUGUAAGCCAGAAGAGGGUGUUGAAACCCCUGGAAAUGGAUUACAGAUUGUUGUUGUAAGCUACAAUGUGGGUGCUGGAAACCAAACCUGGCCCCAAGGAAAAGCAACUGGUGCCCUUAACUGCUGCUUUAUCUUCUUUAUCUUUCCAGCCCCAGCAAGAUUGCUUUUUUUUUCUCUCUGGUCUUUUCAGACAGGGUUUCUCUGUGUAGCCUUGGCUGUUCUGGAACUCACUCUAUAGACUAGGCUGGCCUCAAACUCACAGAGAUCCAUCUGCCUCUGCUUCUCAAGUGCUGGGAUUAAAGGCAUGUGCCACCACCAAGACUGCAUUUUAAUGUAUACAUUUAAUCAUAUCCUAAGAAGUGUAUUAAGCAGUACAUGAUAAAUCCUAAAUAAAUACUGUGAACUGUCUUAAUUAUUGUUGUUUUGCUGCUAUAUCCCCUGGACCCCUAAGAAACUUCGGUUGAUUCUUCUGAUGAGUUGUUUCAUGGCUGAGCUCCCUUCCAACUUCCUGCCAACCACAAUAUCUCCCACCACCCAUGGACUGGAACAUCUGUAGGAUGGUAUCCAGGUGGGAAUCAUUGCAAUCCAUGCUGGGAUUUUAGACUAUUAGCAUAUUCAACAAUGCAUUACCAUUACCAAGGCAUUAGUUACAAGUAGUAUUGAGUAGUGCUUGCAGUCAAUGACUGCCAGUGUUCCUAAUGAGAGAGAGGAUAUCCAUGGAAGUUGCAGUGGUUUCCUCUAUAGCUUAUCAGAGCCCCUGUGACUGAGAUCAGAGUUGGGUUACAUUUUUUUAUUUCUUGCACUUGAAGCACUUCCUGUGGGCUGAUUCCUUAACAUCCAGAAGGGAAGGUGGGUCUGGUGUCUAUUACAGAGAUAGCUGCGGCUGUAGAGAUGCUCUAAGAAGAAAAAAAUAUUGAGUGGUCUGAUUUCCCACUGGAAGAGGAAACUGAUGAGUCAGCAUAAAGGAAAAUAUCAAAUAGCAAUUUUGUUCUUCAAGACAAUCCCAGUGCUAAUGAAGGUGUGUUCUCUGGGUUGUUCAGUUUUCAGUUAUCUACUCAUAAGCCUCUCUGCCCCUUCAUAUGAUACUUUUAUGUAUUUGCUAUGUUUUCUAAUGUUCCUUCUAGACUGUCUUUUAUGGCUAAUGGGACAUUUUAUGACAUUGUGGGCAUGACAGAAGAAUGUUACCAGGUUGAUUCUUCCAUGAGGAUGGGAUAGCAUGGGACAGGACAUUUGGUUUGUAGCAUUUCCAAAAGUUCCUUCACUGCCUGUCUUAGUUAGGGUUUCUAUUGCUAUGAAGAGAAACCAUGGCUGCGGCAGCUCUUAUAAAGGAAAACAUUUAUUCAGGGCUGGCUUACAGUUUCAGAGGUUGGUCCAUUAUCAUCAUGGUGGAAAAUGGCAGCAUGCAAGCAAGCCUGUUGCUGGAGAGGUAGCUGAGAGUUGUACAUUGGGAUCAGCAGACAGCAGGAAGAGACAGGGCCUGGCUUUUGCUUCUGGAGACUUUAAAGCCCACUAUCAGUGACAGGAGUUCUCCAACGACACCACUCCUGCUUAUUCAGGCCACACCUCCUAAUAGUGUUACUCCCACAUGCUGGUAGACAGAGGUGAAGAGCAAGACAAGCUGUGGCAAAUCCUUUCCCCCCCAGUUUUUGAAUGCAAGCAAAGGCUCAUCCCUGCCUUUUCUUCUGUGUGUCUCUGGUGUCAUCCAGCCUGCUCUUAAGUCUUUGUUUUUGCUUUCCACAUGAUUUCUGAGGAUGGUGAAGAAUUCUGACUCCAGUCUUCUCUAGGAUACAAUUUCGACAACUUUGGGUCAAGCACAUCUUGAUCGAGGGGAGCACAGGCUCUUCUGUCUUACUCAGAAAUAUGGACUUCAAAGAUGCCCUGUUCUGCACCAAAGGAGGGUGCAAUUAAGUAGCAAGGCCAUCUGUAAGUUUUUAUAAAAAGCCAGCAACUCUCUGGGGACUUCGGAGAGCCACAAUUUCUGAGUAAAGAAAGGGUCAUUUGAGGACUAUCUGAUGAAAAGGAAAGUAAAAGUGGUAAGUCAGGUAGAGCCAUAGACUGUCAAAGGCCUAGAUGAUCCAGCUGUCUCCUGGUGCUGCAUGGAGUUCUUCUAGCAUAGAUGCCAUUCACUACAUCACUGAGCUGGGCAAGAAGACUGAGGUGCCAUAAAAAGACAGACAGGCAUUUCUGAAGGAACAAGAUGUUUACUUUCCAUGUGAACUAGAGCACAAUAUCAAUAUUUGUAUUUCAAGUGCUUGUUUGGGAGCACAUAUUCAUUCCCCCUUCCGUUAAGGCAGGUGACCAUGGAGUGCCAGGGCUUAGCAAAACCUCACAAAACAAUAGGAGGAACUGGUGCACUUUCAUGUCUGAUUAUUGCAUUUUGUGAACACAGGGCUCUGAUCUCCCAAGGAGUUUCUAAGCCAAAGGUGUGUCAUGUUUGAGCUGGCUAACUAACCAGAACUGUAUUUCCACACUGUCUAUGUGAAUCAUGAGUUAGUAUGACAGACCAGUUUAUUGCUUUGGGGUGGGAUGGGAGUGGAGCCAUAUUGCAGUGUUCUGGUACCUAAUUUAAUUUUGUGGUUACACAGAAGCAGAACUGCAAGAUGUCAUUUUGUCUGAUUCUGCAGUUUAAGAGGAAGGAACUGUGAUUCAGAAGGCAGUGGCUUGCUCAUGGGUUUUAGAAAACAAAUCAAGCAAGAAACAUGAUCACUGCUUAGGUCACUGAUUUGCUGCUUGUUUUGAUUGUAUUCUAGUUAGGCCCCAUCGUGUGCAUUGAUCCUAGCAGAGGCUUUCUGCCUUGUUUUCAUCUCAGAGCCGUUCUCCAUCGAGGAUUCUUCCAGGCCUUAACUCCUUUCCAGGUCUUACCUCUUGCCUUUUCAGUUCACCUCGUAAGAUGAUACAGAAUCCUGUUUUUAAACAAUCCUUUGUAUCUUUUAUUUUUUAAAAAGACCUAGAUUAAACAAGGGGUUAUUAAGGCUUUGCUCUUGAGUAUGUAUGGCUUCCAAGAAAUCAGAAGACAUCUAAUGUGAAACUUCUUUAUUGAGCCAAUUGGACUUACUAUUUCUAUCUAAAAUUAUCUGACGCUAUACUAUACACAUAUUGACUUCUAUCAUUUGAAAUGAUCUUAAUUACUGUUUCAGUUGUUUGAAAGCUGCAAGAAGGCACUGCAAGUUGACAAAGGGACUUCGAGGAAUGAAAAGUCUGGAGAGGAAGUAGAGAAUUGUGAAAUGCCAUUGUAGAGAGACUGAUAAACAGCUCUAGUGGCUCUGCUGGGAGACCUCAGGACCCAUGUGAGGCAGAACAGCUGCAAGUUGGAAGAGCAUCUUCCUGCAGGUGGCUCUCCCUUCACGACCCACUCUGUCCUUCUAAUUGUUUCUUUGGUGCCCUUUCCUUCUCUUUCAUUACUUAAUAUAUUUUUACUUUUAGGCGCACAUACCAGUUGUUCAUAUAUGGGUAUGUUGUGACCUUUCAAUAAAGAACAGG